GUGUUCCCUGUCCUGCUUCCCCAGAGGAAGCCAGAAGAAGACCCCAGUUGCCAUGAACUCCGCCGUCACUAGCCGUGAGCACUCCACUUACUCGAGGAGUGAUGUCGUGCUCAGCUCCCAACCUAUGGCCAAGGCAGGAGGACAGAUAGGCAGCCCGGGAGUCCCGCAGCAGCUGCCUGGCCUAUGACAUCUUGGACAUCCUGCCAUGUUAUCUCUGUAUCUUCUUGGGGAUUCAGCACUUCCUCACAGCCCUGGGGGGCCUCAUGGCGGUGCCAUUCAUCCUGGCCAAGGACCUGUGCCUGCAGCAGGACCCCCUGACACAGAGCUACCUCAUCAGCACCAUUUUCUUUGCUCCAGCAUCUGCAUGCUCCUGCAAGUGUUUUUAGGGGUCAGGGGUUCUCCAGCCGGCCCAGGUUGUUCAGAUGCUGCUGACCAUGGGCAUGUUCAUCAGUGGAUUUCUGGGUUUUCUUCUAGACAACACCAUCCCCGACUCGAAUCAUUUCUUGGUCUAGCAUCUCCAUGCUGUGGAGGAUACCCGCCCCCUUAGUAGCUGUCUUGGUGAUCAGAUUGACCGUCGAGGCACUGCAGUGCUUGUCCUCAGAACAAGAACCCAGAGCCCACCAAAGGACUGGCGUGAAAGGAGCUGUAGCACUGUAUCCGUCCCACCCUCCACUGGCACCGGAUGGCUGCCCCACAUGACAGGAAGUGUUGGUGUGACCAGACCAGCAGCCCAGGAGCCAUGGGCUAGAGUGGGGCAUUGGGACCGAAUGAGCGGUAACAUGAACAAGCUGAAACACAUUCCUGCCCAGCCUGCCAAGCUGUGGGCAGUGACACGCUCUUAUUUGCCAGACUACAAGAGAAGAUCUGUGACCCUUCUGGGGGCCCAUACCUUGGGGCUCCCCAAGCCAGAGCUGUGACAUGCUGUAACACCCUCUUGCAGCUCCACGGUUGCUGGUGUCUUUGAGUUUUCAGGCACCACGGCGUUCCCCUUGUUGGGAUGCCAGUGCCCAAGGUGGAAGCCACUUGAGGCAUACCUGGUCCAGCCACAGCCUCACAUGGUUCUGACACCUGGAGCUGCCUGCCCUUCUGCAGCAGCUGGUGCACCUGGCUCUGUGGUGUGGCUGGACCCUGUGCUCACUCACACACCUCCCACUACUCCGCGCCUGGCUCACCCAUGAUGGGAAUGGGAUCUGGGCCAGUAGUGCAAGCUGAGGACAGCCUGCUGGGCUGAGUAGGCAGAGCCAGCCCAGCAGUUGUGAGCAAAACUUGGUCAGAGGCGCCACUGGUCACAGAAGUUUCUGGCUGGUGAAGUGGCACUGAAAGAAUCCUGUGUGACUUUGCUCAUCUCAGUUACUCAUUCUGUGGCCACAUCUCAGACUAGCCUUGGGGAUUCCCAGUAGCUGUGCCUGCAAUCCUCAAUUUCAAGCAGUUGUCUGACCACCACCUCCUAUUUUUCCAGCUCACUACUUCUAGUCCCCCAAGUCUAAUAACUCUUUAAUUGGCCAGGAUCUGAAUCUACCGUCCUCCCACCUUCCGCUGGUCCCCUCUUCCCUCCUUGAGCAACCUCAAUGCCACAGUCAGUCAUAAUAACCACCUUCUCGCAUUUGCAACGCCCUUAGUCUGCUCUCUUCUUUACACUCUCUUGGCAAAACCUGAACGCUGAUGAGAAAUAACUCUUCACUCUGCACCUGCACUCGUGCAGUUGAGCAUCUCUGGGGAAAACAUACAGUUGAAUGGAGUGGUUUUAGAUUCAGACCCUGAACUUCACGGGAUCCUCAGUGCCGCCUGGCAGGCAGGAACCCUUUCCCAAGCACACUGCUCUCUCUGCUAAAACUCUUUCCACCUCUGUCUUCUUCUUCUUUUUUUUUUUUUUUUUUUGAACUUCACGGGAUCCUCAGUGCCGCCUGGCAGGAAGGAACCCUUUCCCAAGCACAAGGCUCUCUCUGCUAAAACUCUUUCCACCUCUGUCUUCUUCUUCUUCUUUUUUUUUUUUUUUUUUUUUGAGACGCUCACUGUCACUCUGGCUGGAGUGUAGUAGUGCGAUUACAGAUCACUGCAGUCUUGACCUCUGGGCUCAAGGGAUCCUCCUGUCUCAGCCUUCCGUGUAGCUGGGGCUACAGGCAUGUGCCACCGCACUCUGCUAAUUUUUUAAAAAAUACUUUGUGGAGACAGAGUCUUGUCAUGUUGCCCAGGCUAGUCUUGAACCGCUCGGCUCGAGCAGUCCUCCAGCCUUGGCUUCCCAAAGUGCUAGGAUUACAGACAUGAGCCACCAUACCCAACCUCAGCUUCUUAUUUCAGAGAAAUCUGUAAAGGAGUAAUCAGAUGAGAAACUGUGCAAACACCUGCAUGUCUCCACUCCUAGCUUUGGUGCCCCUUGACUCUCCCUCCUGUUGGGUGAAUGAGCUGCCUGGCUCCUCCCUGAAGCUGGUUCCUCCCCUUGUGCUCCAGAGCCCAUUCCCUGAUUUCUAUUCAAGGGUUUCACUGCGACAAGUCUCCUAUCUUGCAUCAAGUUUUCUCUUUCUUUCAGUAACGCAUGUCAGCAUACACACCUGCUGUUAUUUCUGCUAUCUUAAAAAAAGAUUUUUUUUCUUAAAAAGAGACUUUUGUGAGUGUGUGCCAUGGUAGGCUUAAAGUAACAGGGUCCCGCCCAUCUAACAUGCUGUAAUAAAUGUGCUGGAGCUGAGGACCUGCGCUUAGCUGCUCCAGGAGUCCUGGAUGCCUCUCAUACCAGUCAAGAGCAGGCCCAUCCUCUUUCCUUACCCUACUGCUUCUGUGCCCACAGAAGCCCUUCACAUCCUGUCUCAUUCUGCCCUUUGUUCCUUUUCCUUUGGUUGACAGCUCCAGGACUUCAGAACAUUCCCUAUGUUCUCACCAAACAGCUGCCAGGCAGCCAGGCUCAGUUUUCCAAGUGGGUUUUCCUGUACUUUAUUUUCGUAUCGUGCUGUCCCCAGGCAGCCAAAGCAGGAUGAACAGCAGGAGAAGAGAGCCAGGCCCUCUCCUGGAACAGCCUCCUGGUCUUCCCUCAGCUGUACUUUUUUUUAUUGUCAGAACACGUAGUUUCAGAGCUUCAGGAACAAGGCAGCUUUGUGAGAAGCAUAUGCAAGAAGGGACAGAUUUCUGACAUUUCCAUAAAAGCACAAAGGCUUGUUUUGUUCAGAAUCAAGGUUGGAGAAGUAGCUGGUGGAUAAGAAGUAAUUGACGAGAUGGGCUUGGGGUAAUUAGCUUGAUUCAAUUAGCAUGAGGUGGAACUGAGUUACCCAAGCUAGAUGUCAGCUCAGCCCAGCCACCACCCGCCCACACCAUCUGCACUCAAUAAGCAUUUAUCUGUUGGAGCUUUUUCUGCACAUUCCAAGGUCGCUAUCAGAAUCUGAAUCCCCUGUUCUGAUAAUGCAGUGCCUAGAGCCACGGCCUCGCAGCUUCCCUCCUUCACCUCCAAUCUUGCUUCUUCCCGCCUCCACUUGACCUCCCAUGAUCCCCCUCCCAGUCAUCACCUAGAGGUGAUGCACAGAGUGGCCGACAGAGUGAACUCCAAGGGCUGGCUUCACAUUCCUACAUCCUAAUUCUUUAGAGGCAGGGCUUUUUUGUGACUUUAAACAACAAAAUUGUUCCCCAUUCAUUAACUUAUUGGGGAUAAAAAGAGUUAGAGGUGAGGUGAUCUGAGAUUCUUCUAUUAAAUGGUUUGGGGCUUCAGUUAAAUCAUUGUUUCUUCAUCUGUCAAAUGGCAGUAAUAACAGAGGCCCAACCUCCACAGGGAGCUGCUAUAACAACAACAACAUAAAAAUCCCCAAGGGGUACCCGUGAUGUUGGUUUCAUGUGUCAAGCUGGCCAAGCUAUAGUAUCCAGUUAUCUAAUCAGGCACUCCUUUAGGGGGUGUUGUGAAGGCAUUUUAUAGAUGUGGUUAACAAACCAGUCCACUUUAAAUUAAGAAGAUUGCCCUUGCUGAUGUGAUUGGGGCUCACCAUCCAUUAGCUGAAGGCCGUAAGAACAGAACUGAGGUUUCUGGGAGGAGACAUUCUUUCAAGACUGCACUGCCAACUCCAGCCUGAGUUUCCAGCCUCCUGGAAGCCCUACAGAUUUCAGACAUGCAGUCCCCACAAACAGAUAAACCAAUUUCUUAAAAUAAAUCUCGGUGUCUCUAUAUCGUAUUGGCACUGUUUUUCUGCAGAACUCUGAUUGCUACAGUACUGACUGAUAUAGGAAGAUACCUUCCCGAUACAAGUCCUUGGUGGGGAGGAAGGGAGAUUGAGAACCACGUGAAGGUAGUUUUAUGCAAUAACUCCAUCCCAGGCUAUGCCAAUACCCAAGGCUGCAGGAGAGAAGCAGAGGGCUGUUGGGCUCACAACCCAGCACAAGGUUGUGGGGGGAAGGGACACCUCCACAUCCUGCUGAGGUCCUCUCUGACUAGGGGCUGCUGGCAGGUAUGGCUCAAGGAAUGAAGUCGCAGCCUUGGACUAAAUAGGAUCAGGGUGGAGCUUGGUACAAAGAGGGAGGGGCUGGCUAGCACUGGCAUACAUUGCUUGAGGGCCUACUAUGUGCACGCCCCUCUGUAAAGCUGCAUUUCUUCUUUCCCACACAGCUGGCUUGGUGAGCCUCUAGGGGUGGCCAACCUGAGCUCCUGCAUUCCUGUCUUUCCAGCAGGAGUUCAAGCUGCCCCUGAGCACAAAGGCCCUUCCUGCCCAGCUCCUGGAGAGCCUCCCUCUGCCCACUCGGUGCGGUGAUUUGUAAGCUGUGAAGGGCUUGCGAAGCUCCUAUCCCUGCACACCCCGGGGGAAGUCCUUGAGUGCGGGCUCAUGCAUCUCAGGACUGCUUUGGAGUCACACAGGACUGGGUCUGGGUCCUAAGACUUAGCCGGUGUUUCAGACUCUCGCUAGGAGAUAACACAGUCCAAGCCUUUGGGAGGGCCUCAGUGCAGGGGAGGGGCUGCUAUGAUGCCUUGAAAACUGUAAAGAGCCAUGCAAGCCCAUUCUCCCCGCACACCCUGCAUUAGUCUGGGUUCUCCAGAGAAAUAGAGCCAAUAAGAUGUGUAUAUACGUAGAUACAGAGAAAGAGAGAGGUGAAAUAUUUAUUUUAAGGAAGGGACCCAUGCAGUUGUGGAGGUGCAAGUCUAAAAUCUGCAAGGCGGGCCGGCAGGCUGGGAAGAGCCGCAGUUCAAGUCCAAAGUUGGACUGCUGGCAGGAUUCCCUCUUUCUCCCGGGAGGUCGGUCUCUUUCGAUUCAGGCCUUUAACCUAUAGGAAGCAUUCUGAGGAUCAUCUGCUUUACUGGAAGUCUCCUGACUUAAAUGUUAAUUUCAUUAACAAUACCUUCACAGAAACAUCUAAAAUAAUGUUUGACCAAAUUCCUGGGUAUCACAGACUAGCCAGGUUGACACAUAAAAUUCACCCUCACCCCCAGUGUCCAAGCCCAGGUACACGUAUGCACCCUUUGCCCAGAAGCCUCACCAGAAAGCCCUCGGAACCCUCGGACCUCACUGUAGCUCCUGUUCAGGUGACUUUAUUACCAGGAGCAGCAGAUGAAUCUGGUUCCACCCAGCUGUCCUGUGGCACAGGGUUGAGGUCAGCACUGCCCCUGGCUCUCAGAGUGUGCAGGAUGAGCAGGUGGGCUGUGGAACUCUCUAGAACCCAUCAGGGCAAUGCCCUGUGCCCAGGACAUGCUGAAAGUACCUGGUGUUAUGUCACCUCCGAGGACAGAUCCUGCCUGUCCUCCUUGAAAGGCCCAUGGCCUGGGCCCCAGCUGUACUUUCUACCCCCUUAAUAGGAGCACAAUAGCAGCAGGCCAGCCCUUUGUGCCAAACAGUCCCUAAAGACCAACACGAGGCCGUGCUUCUCUUAUACUUUAUAAUAAUCAGAAACUAAAAUCAUCAAAAUGCUUCUGGAACAACCCACUCCAAAGAGUCCUGGAGGCCAAGGCAGGUGCAACCUUAGCUGCCAGCAUUCAACCUUGGGAACUGCCCACCUCAUUCAGUCCCUCCCCUCGCAGCUCCUCUUCUGCAUUACAAAUCUUCAUCGUCAAAGGUCUCUGUGCACUGCAACAUGAUCAUCUCUUCAUCAACGGGAAAGGAUGCUUCCUGCAAGACACAGGGUGGAAGAGGGUCACUUUUUAUCUGUGGGUCUUGGGCCCGAGGCAGAUAGGAAGGCUCCUGCAUCUCCGGUGUGCCCAGCCCCCAGACUCUAUCCUACGUCUCUUCCGCUGCAUUUUCACCUCCAGCUUGGGCCAGGAAGCAAGGGCUCUAAGGGGGGAAGGUCCCAUUUCCAUUUCACUCAACUCAGCAUUCUAUGACCUCCAGAAAGGACACAGCAGAACUGGCUUCUUUUUUAUCCUGGGGAUUUCCAGGUUCCCACAAGAGAGACAGAGGACCUCAUAAGGCUUUAUCCAAAUGCUCAUCAAUAGAAGACGGUGCACUGCACCACGGUGCUCCCACCAAUGAAACACCAUGCAGCUCAUUUCCAACAAAAAUAAUGAGACAGCGUGCUCUCUGUGGGAUACACUAUUUACAAAGGGCAAAGUGCAAAGCAAUGUGUACCGUAGGCUACUACUAUUUGUGUUUGAAAGAAUAUAUAAUAUCUGUAGAAUAUCUUUGGAUGAGUGUACAAGAAACUGGUCACUGUAGUUGCCUCUGGGGGAGGGUAUGGGGUAGGAAGCAAGGAAGAGAGAGAGACUAAGUGUCCAUUGUAUAUCUUUUGGUAACUUGUAAAUUUUAUGCCAUGUAUAUGGGUUACCUAUUAGGAGAUGAUAUUUUUUUAAGCAGCAGCACUGCAGCUGGUCAUGAUGG
This is a long non-coding RNA of Homo sapiens (human), 6770 nucleotides long. RefSeq lists it as uncharacterized. The transcript is spliced from 6 exons. The record is from RefSeq and is a predicted model, not a curated record. Lineage: Eukaryota; Metazoa; Chordata; Mammalia; Primates; Hominidae.